CCAGACAGCCAGGAUGUUGGCUUAGAAGCAGCCAUCAUUUAAAGAAAGCGUAAUAGCUCACUGGUCGAGUCGGCCUGCGCGGAAGAUGUAACGGGGCUAAACCAUGCACCGAAGCUGCGGCAGCGACGCUUAUGCGUUGUUGGGUAGGGGAGCGUUCUGUAAGCCUGUGAAGGUGUACUGUGAGGUAUGCUGGAGGUAUCAGAAGUGCGAAUGCUGACAUAAGUAACGAUAAAGCGGGUGAAAAGCCCGCUCGCCGGAAGACCAAGGGUUCCUGUCCAACGUUAAUCGGGGCAGG
Molecule: ribosomal RNA, 295 nt
Filed under: Escherichia coli
Lineage: Bacteria; Pseudomonadati; Pseudomonadota; Gammaproteobacteria; Enterobacterales; Enterobacteriaceae
Description: partial 23S ribosomal RNA
Rfam family: Bacterial large subunit ribosomal RNA
Source: RNAcentral